This 253-nucleotide ribosomal RNA is filed under the name uncultured bacterium. RNAcentral's name for it is "partial 16S ribosomal RNA". It matches the Rfam family "Bacterial small subunit ribosomal RNA", at positions 524 to 776 of the family's 1533-position model. The record is from RNAcentral.
UACGUAGGGCGCAAGCGUUAUCCGGAAUUAUUGGGCGUAAAGAGCUCGUAGGCGGUCUGUCGCGUCUGCUGUGAAAUCCCGAGGCUCAACCUCGGGCUUGCAGUGGGUACGGGCAGGCUAGAGUACGGUAGAGGGUGGCGGAACUCCGGGUGUAGCGGUGAAAUGCGUAGAUAUCCGGAAGAACACCGAUGGCGAAGGCAACCACCUGGGCCUGUACUGACGCUGAGGUACGAAAGCGUGGGGAGCAAACAGG